RNAcentral lists this ribosomal RNA (389 nucleotides) under uncultured bacterium. Its description in RNAcentral is "bacterial SSU rRNA". It matches the Rfam family "Bacterial small subunit ribosomal RNA", at positions 28 to 417 of the family's 1533-position model. The record is from RNAcentral.
GACGAACGCUGGCGGCGUGCUUAACACAUGCAAGUCGAGCGGUAAGGCCCUUUCGGGGGGUACACGAGCGGCGAACGGGUGAGUAACACGUGGGUGACCUGCCCUCAGCUCUGGGAUAAGCCUGGGAAACCGGGUCUAAUACCGGAUAUGACUCCAUGACGCAUGUUGUGGGGUGGAAAGCCUUGUGCGGCUGAGGAUGGGCCCGCGGCCUAUCAGCUUGUUGGUGGGGUGAUGGCCUACCAAGGCGACGACGGGUAGCCGGCCUGAGAGGGCGACCGGCCACGCUGGGACUGAGACACGGCCCAGACUCCUACGGGAGGCAGCAGUGGGGAAUCUUGCGCAAUGGGCGAAAGCCUGACGCAGCGACGCCGCGUGAGGGAUGACGGCCU